GUCACGCUGUAAACGAUGUCGAUUUGGAGGUUGUUCCCUUGAGGAGUGGCUUCCGGAGCUAACGCGUUAAAUCGACCGCUGGGGAGUACGGCCGCAAGGUUAAAACUCAAAUGAAUUGACGGGGGCCCGCACAAGCGGUGGAGCAUGUGGUUUAAUUCGAUGCAACGCGAAGAACCUUACCUACUCUUGACAUCCAGAGAAUUUAGCAGAGAUGCUUUAGUGCCUUCGGGAACUCUGAGACAGGUGCUGCAUGGCUGUCGUCAGCUCGUGUUGUGAAAUGUUGGGUUAAGUCCCGCAACGAGCGCAACCCUUAUCCUUUGUUGCCAGCACGUUAUGGUGGGAACUCAAAGGAGACUGCCGGUGAUAAACCGGAGGAAGGUGGGGAUGACGUCAAGUCAUCAUGGCCCUUACGAGUAGGGCUACACACGUGCUACAAUGGCGUAUACAAAGAGAAGCGACCUCGCGAGAGCAAGCGGAACUCAUAAAGUACGUCGUAGUCCGGAUUGGAGUCUGCAACUCGACUCCAUGAAGUCGGAAUCGCUAGUAAUCGUAGAUCAGAAUGCUACGGUGAAUACGUUCCCGGGCCUUGUACACACCGCCCGUCACACCAUGGGAGUGGGUUGCAAAAGAAGUAGGUAGCUUAACCUUCGGGAGGGCGCUUACCACUUUGUGAUUCAUGACUGGGGUGAAGUCGUAACAAGGUAACCA
Molecule: ribosomal RNA, 708 nt
Filed under: uncultured Enterobacteriaceae bacterium
Lineage: Bacteria; Pseudomonadati; Pseudomonadota; Gammaproteobacteria; Enterobacterales; Enterobacteriaceae
Also listed under: 1 other name
Description: bacterial SSU rRNA
Rfam family: Bacterial small subunit ribosomal RNA
Source: RNAcentral